Long non-coding RNA from Protopterus annectens (West African lungfish), 1316 nucleotides. RefSeq lists it as uncharacterized. The transcript has 3 exons. The record is from RefSeq and is a predicted model, not a curated record. NCBI's taxonomy places the organism in Eukaryota, Metazoa, Chordata, Ceratodontiformes, Protopteridae.
UUCUGAGGAGAAUUUCACUAGAGAUGCAGAGCAGAUUCCUAGCACUGAUAGACUGUUGGGAUUUGGAAGAGAAGUGGCUUUUGUCUUUUUGGUCAGCUGUGUUACAGGUAGAAGACAAGAUAACGAUGUUCAGAGUGCCAGCUGCUGUUACUGGUAAUACUCUGUUGUCUGAUUCUGGACUUGAAUAGAUACUCACUGUGCUGGGAGCUUCAGAUUCUUUUGAGAGAGUUAGAACAGCUGGGACUCAAAAUGUUCCAGUCUCAGGGUACAGCUGUUGGAUCCUAAGUUGCUAGUGUGUUCCUUUUUGCACGUCCAGUUUAGAAGCACAACAGGUUUCUUUAUUUACAAGAGGAGGUGGCCAGCUACUGGGCAGUCACAUUUCAAACCUCACCGACAGUGAUGGAGUCAGAUGAGGACAUGUCAGACUCAUUUGGGAAUGUGUAAGAACUUACAGUUAUUACCACGUUACAGCAUGCAAGGCCGAUACCAAUCCAUCCAUCCAUUGAAGACAAUGAAAAUGUGCUCAACCACUUCUGGCAGAGUCUGACAUUGAGGACCAAGGUGGAAACCAGGAUGAUGAUGAUGGUGAUAAGAAUGGACCAGGACCAACACAUGGCAUCCUUCUAGUGGACUGACAGUGACCACUUCUCCACCACACUAGCCAGAUGACCUGAGGGACUAGAUCUGUGAUGCCAUCAUUGAUGUCUUCCAGACUCAGAUGAGGGACAUGAUGGGCCAGUUCUUCCAGGAUAUGGCAAGGGCCACACACAACAUUUUCCAGGAGAUUGCUCAGGAGAUCUUUUGAGACAUUUAACUCCUUCAGGGAGGGUCCUGUGGGUUGUAAGUAUUGCCUUUGUGAUCCAGUCAUGAUGUGUUUCUAUUUGGCUAUAUUUUAUUAUUAAGCACACAUUUGUGCACGCAUCCCAUACUGCAGUCAUGCUUGUAAGAUGUACAGCGCUAUUUGACUUGUCUGUGGCUAUAUAUUAUCACUGAAUUAUGACACUUGUUAAAAUAUGUCACAGAUAUUGUCAUCAUGGUGCCAUGUGAUCAUCAGACAUCAGAUGAUGACAUACAUGUAGACAGUGUAACGGACAAUCCGGACAGGUAUUCCUGCAAUCUGUAUGUGGCUUGCCUCAUCUGCAUGUGGUGGACCAUGACAUUGUUAUAUCAGAUCAAGUCUGCCCUUGUAUGUGACAGAUAUAUCUGACACAGAUAGCAUUCUGCCACUGUGACACACUUGUCUUGCUGGCAUUGCUACUUUCAUUUUAUUUUCAAACCUCUCACUGUUUUAACAUCAAGAAUAUACCAUAAAAUAA